GGCCAGACUCCUACGGGAGGCAGCAGUGGGGAAUAUUGCACAAUGGGGGGAACCCUGACGCAGCGACGCCGCGUGAGUGAAGAAGUAUUUCGGUAUGUAAAGCUCUGUCAGCAGGGAAGAAGAAAGACGGUACCUGACCAAGAAGCCCCGGCUAACUACGUGCCGGCAGCCGCGGUAAUACGUAGGGGGCAAGCGUUAUCCGGAUUUACUGGGUGUAAAGGGAGCGUAGACGGCAGCGCAAGUCUGGAGUGAAAUGCCGGGGCCCAACCCCGGAACUGCUCUGGAAACUGUGCAGCUAGAGUGCGGGAGAGGUAAGCGGAAUUCCUAGUGUAGCGGUGAAAUGCGUAGAUAUUAGGAGGAACACCAGUGGCGAAGGCGGCUUACUGGACCGUAACUGACGUUGAGGCUCGAAAGCGUGGGGAGCAAACAGGAUUAGAUACCCUGGUAU
Molecule: ribosomal RNA, 448 nt
Filed under: uncultured bacterium
Lineage: Bacteria
Description: bacterial SSU rRNA
Rfam family: Bacterial small subunit ribosomal RNA
Source: RNAcentral